ACUGAGCACAACUGUGCAGGGGAAUCCAUGCUUCAUGGCGCUCUCCAGUCUCCUCUGGGUGUUCCUGGCCUUCACCUUCUCUGGAUCCAGUGUAGCCCAGAAAGUUAUUCAAGACCAGCCAGACAUAUCCAGUCGAGUUGGGGAGUCAGUUACCCUGAACUGUCGGUAUGAAACAAGUCGGAUGUAUGAAACAGUUUGGAGCAGUUACAACAUUUUUUGGUACAAGCAACUUCCUAGUGGAGAGAUUAUUUUCCUUACAAGGGUUGGCCGUUACUCUAUAAAUUUUGAGAGAGCACAUAAAUCAUCCAGCCUCACCAUUUCAACCUUACAAUUGGAAGAUUCUGCAAAGUACUUCUGUGCUCUCUGGGACCUCACAGUGCUUGAAGUAAUAGGAAAAGCUGAACAAAAACCCCCAAGCUUAAUAAGAGAAAGCCUCUCUGCUGUAGGACCCUAG
Non-coding RNA from Dama dama (fallow deer), 454 nucleotides. NCBI's taxonomy places the organism in Eukaryota, Metazoa, Chordata, Mammalia, Artiodactyla, Cervidae. The record is from the annotation of a RefSeq genome assembly.